CCUACGGGCGGCAGCAGUGGGGGAUAUUGCACAAUGGGGGAAACCCUGAUGCAGCGACGCCGCGUGUGGGAAGACGGUCCUCUGGAUUGUAAACCACUGUCCCCAGGGACGAAGAUGACGGUACCUGGGGAGGAAGCUCCGGCUAACUACGUGCCAGCAGCCGUGGUAAUAGGUAGGGAGCGAGCGUUGUUCGGAAUUACUGGGUGUAAAGGGAGCGUAGGCGGGACUGCAAGUUGGGUGUCAAAUCUACUGGCUCAACCGGUAGCCGCACUCAAAACUGCAGUUCUAGAGUGAAGUAGAGGCAGGCGGAAUUCCUAGUGUAGCGGUGAAAUGCGUAGAUAUUAGGAGGAACACCAGUGGCGAAGGCGGCCUGCUGGGCUUUUACUGACGCUGAGGCUCGAAAGUGUGGGGAGCAAACAGGAUUAGAUACCCGUGUAGUC
Molecule: ribosomal RNA, 440 nt
Filed under: uncultured bacterium
Lineage: Bacteria
Description: partial 16S ribosomal RNA
Rfam family: Bacterial small subunit ribosomal RNA
Source: RNAcentral